This 254-nucleotide long non-coding RNA is filed under the name Phaseolus vulgaris (common bean). RNAcentral's name for it is "long non-coding RNA (PVUL_LNC002466)". The record is from RNAcentral. Lineage: Eukaryota; Viridiplantae; Streptophyta; Magnoliopsida; Fabales; Fabaceae.
GGUUAACUUGGAUUAGCAUCAGUGAAUGAAACCUGUAAACAAAAUCAUUAUGUGUUCUAGAUAUAAAAUAAGUUUAGAACCAAGCAAGGAGAUCUAGAGCAAACAAAGUCCAAUAAACCAGUAAAAGAAAAUGUUAAAUAUGACAAAAUCUGUACUAAAUAUAUCAAAAAAGGAAUCCCAUGUAUGGUCUAGUAACAGAACACAUUGAAUGAACACAAUUAUUUCCUAUAACUUUCUUCAUAAAUUCUACUGGU